Drosophila biarmipes is the source of this 1534-nucleotide long non-coding RNA. RefSeq lists it as uncharacterized. The record is from RefSeq and is a predicted model, not a curated record. The transcript has 2 exons. Lineage: Eukaryota; Metazoa; Arthropoda; Insecta; Diptera; Drosophilidae.
CAGCGAGUAACAAAACCGCAUUUGUUUCAUAAAUUUUGUCUUUUUAAUUAAAACUGGUUCCGUCGGUUUCCAGUUGACCCAAAACAUAAACUAGAUUUCCCUACCCAGCCUCCAAAACAACUCGCAUCCGAAAUCAAAAGCCAAUGCCCCGAUUUACAAGUCAGAGAUUCCGUUAGGCAUUCGUAUUCGUAUUCAUAUUCGUGUUGAGACUGGGGAUUCUGGGGUCUCCGCUUAGGCAGAAAACUCAUUCGAAUACCAGGAAUUAUUCACUGCUUGGGGCAUGACUCAUCCACGCACACUUGUUGAUGUCCCGCUCGCAGCUCAGCUUACUUAGUUGCGAAUCUCGGUUGCGGAAGCGUUUAUUAGAAGACUAGACCACACUUAUGACGCUGACUCAUCGACCUGCAACUGUCUCGAUCCUACCCACACCGAAUUUCAUCUUUAGCCCGGCGAACUGCAUCUCAAAGUAUGCAAAGCGAUGAAAGCCAAACCGAAAAGGUUAACUAUAAGAUCACAAUAAAGGAAUGACGAAAUGUAUAUUAUUGGAGGCACAUAUUCACUUUCAUCUUUUUUAAGAGAAGUCGCAACUUGACAAUGAAUUCACUUCCAUCUAUUUUUAGAAACAUCCAAGGAACUAUGUGCUCUAUGAGAUGGAGCAUGCGUGGGUAAUAAACAUGAAACGCUUAUUUGGCACGCGAUCCACAGAUGUCGAACUUUGACAGAAGCACUUUGAUGGUUGGGUCAACACAAUUAAGCCUAAUCAUCGAUGCGAGAGGGCCUCGACUUGGGGUUAAGUGAUAUUCCCUCGGUGCUUCGUUUUGUGCUUUCUGAUUCUGCAUAAGUGGAAUCUUUGAGCUGGAAGCACAUGCAAAUCGCCACUUUAUUUGUUAUACAUUUGAUUGAUGGAAAUUCAGCCACCGAGAAGGCAUUUAAACAAAUUAUAUUCCAAUUUUGCCGGAAUGACGUUACCAAAUUUGAUUCGGAUGAGUUCGUGCCUGCAAAAAGGCAACGAAAAUCCGCAAAUAGAAACGGGUUUUUUCGGCCAAUUUAGUAAACAAAUCCAGCUGAACAAUCGGCUAUUAGGUAGCCACCAGCAGCCAGCGCCAAAAUCGGGGAGCAACAACGCAACCAACUAAACAGCCACUUUUGUUUUGGCCCCUUCGGACGCGUUUUAAGUUAUUAUAAACAAACAGCUUCGAGCACUGUUUUAGUGAGUACAGGAAAGUGCAAAUAAUUAAGUCCCAAUGCUGCCGAAUUUUUCUAUUUAUACGCGCAGCUGAUUAAGCAAUGCCGAGGAGGGAAAUUCGUGAAUGAGUGGCAUUCCGCUGUGCAAACUUGUGGAUUAAAAAACAGGUGCGGGAGCAGUCGAGGCCUUUCCAGGAAGGCCCAGUGAGUGCCAAUAGCCCCGAGCCACCCUGCACGGUGCAUCAUAACUUGUUCGGCUGUAUCAGCUCUACAGCGUCGGGCGGGGCGGAAGCUGUUAUCGAAGAGCUCGGCUCGAAAUUAAUACACACAAUAAAUUAUUUAAACAUAA